This 699-nucleotide ribosomal RNA is filed under the name uncultured bacterium. RNAcentral's name for it is "bacterial SSU rRNA". It matches the Rfam family "Bacterial small subunit ribosomal RNA", at positions 216 to 932 of the family's 1533-position model. The record is from RNAcentral.
CGUUAAAAGAUGAGUUUGCGCAAGAUUAGGUAGUUGGUAGUUUAAAAGACUACCAAGCCAAAGAUCUUUAGCUGGUUUGAAAGAACGAUCAGCCACAUUGGGACUGAGAUACGGCCCAGACUUUUUUUAAAGGCAGCAGUGAGGAAUUUUGGACAAUGAGCGAAAGCUUGAUCCAGCAAUACCAAGUGAGUGAAGAAGGCUAAAUAGGUUGUAAAACUCUUUCAUUAAGGAGGAAAAUGACAGUACUUAAAGAAGAAGUUCUGGCUAAUACUCGUGCCAGCAGUCGCGGUAAUACGGGAAGAGCGAGCAUUAUUCAAAAUGAUUAGGCGUAAAGAGUUUGUAGGUUGUUUGUUAAGUUGAAAAAGAAAAAUUAAAGCUCAACUUUAAAUAUUUUUCAAAACUAAUAAACUAGAGUAUAAAUAGAGGAUAAUAGAAUUUCUAUUGGAGGGAUAAAAUACUUUGAGAGUAGAAGGAAUAUCAAAAGCGAAGGCAAUUAUCUGGGUAUAUACUGACACUGAGAAACGAAAGCUUGGGGAGCGAACGGGAUUAGAUACCCCCGGUAGUCCAUGCUGUAAACGAUGAGUGCUAAUAUUUAGAAUUUUUUUUUAGAUAAUAAAGCUAACGCGUUAAGCACUCCGCCUGAAAAGUACGAUCGCAAGGUUGAAAUUCAAGGGAAUUGACGGGAGUCUACACAAGCGG